RNAcentral lists this ribosomal RNA (765 nucleotides) under uncultured bacterium. RNAcentral's name for it is "bacterial SSU rRNA". It matches the Rfam family "Bacterial small subunit ribosomal RNA", at positions 28 to 776 of the family's 1533-position model. The record is from RNAcentral.
AUUGAACGCUGGCGGAACGCUUUACACAUGCAAGUCGAACGGUAACGCGGAGAGAAGCUUGCUUCUCUCCGGCGACGAGUGGCGAACGGGUGAGUAAUACAUCGGAACGUGUCCGCUCGUGGGGGACAACCAGCCGAAAGGUUGGCUAAUACCGCAUGAGUUCUACGGAAGAAAGAGGGGGACCCGCAAGGGCCUCUCGCGAGCGGAGCGGCCGAUGACUGAUUAGCCGGUUGGUGAGGUAACGGCUCACCAAAGCAACGAUCAGUAGCUGGUCUGAGAGGACGACCAGCCACACUGGGACUGAGACACGGCCCAGACUCCUACGGGAGGCAGCAGUGGGGAAUUUUGGACAAUGGGCGCAAGCCUGAUCCAGCUAUUCCGCGUGUGGGAUGAAGGCCCUCGGGUUGUAAACCACUUUUGUAGAGAACGAAAAGACACCUUCGAAUAAAGGGUGUUGCUGACGGUACUCUAAGAAUAAGCACCGGCUAACUACGUGCCAGCAGCCGCGGUAAUACGUAGGGUGCGAGCGUUAAUCGGAAUUACUGGGCGUAAAGGGUGCGCAGGCGGUUGAGUAAGACAGAUGUGAAAUCCCCGAGCUUAACUCGGGAAUGGCAUAUGUGACUGCUCGACUGGAGUGUGUCAGAGGGAGGUGGAAUUCCACGUGUAGCAGUGAAAUGCGUAGAUAUGUGGAAGAACACCGAUGGCGAAGGCAGCCUCCUGGGACAUAACUGACGCUCAGGCACGAAAGCGUGGGGAGCANACAGG